RNAcentral lists this ribosomal RNA (501 nucleotides) under uncultured bacterium. Its description in RNAcentral is "partial 16S ribosomal RNA". It matches the Rfam family "Bacterial small subunit ribosomal RNA", at positions 30 to 523 of the family's 1533-position model. The record is from RNAcentral.
AUUGAACGCUGGCGGCAGGCUUAACACAUGCAAGUCGAGCGGGGGAAGGUAGCCUGCUACCGGACCUAGCGGCGGACGGGUGAGUAAUGCUUAGGAGUCUGCCUAUUAGUGGGGGACAACAUCUCGAAAGGGAUGCUAAUACCGCAUACGUCCUACGGGAGAAAGCAGGGGAUCUUCGGACCUCGCGCUAAUAGAUGAGCCUAAGUCGGAUUAGCUAGUUGGUGGGGUAAAGGCCUACCAAGGCGACGAUCUGUAGCGGGUCUGAGAGGAUGAUCCGCCACACUGGGACUGAGACACGGCCCAGACUCCUACGGGAGGCAGCAGUGGGGAAUAUUGGACAAUGGGGGGGACCCUGAUCCAGCCAUGCCGCGUGUGUGAAGAAGGCCUUAUGGUUGUAAAGCACUUUAAGCGAGGAGGAGGCUACUUUAGUUAAUACCUAGAGAUAGUGGACGUUACUCGCAGAAUAAGCACCGGUUAACUCUGUGCCAGCCGCCGCCGUAA